RNAcentral lists this long non-coding RNA (1467 nucleotides) under Equus asinus (donkey). RNAcentral's name for it is "lncRNA (ENSEASG00005034656.1)". Lineage: Eukaryota; Metazoa; Chordata; Mammalia; Perissodactyla; Equidae. The record is from RNAcentral.
UGUCACCUGUCGCCCUGGGAGUCCCAGAGAGGCAUUAACAUAGGCUUGGGUUUUGCAGGACACUGAUGGAAGGUGGGCACGGAAUAGCAUUGUUCCCUGCCAGCAUCAAGAAGCAGCCACUAAACAGAGGGAAGCACAAACGCUGGUGACCAGGGCGAGGUCUGGAGCUAAUAACACACUGUAAAUAGCAGCCCGCCCCCCAGGAUGCUAUUUUCUGUUCCCAGCUGUCGAGUGAUGGAGGUUUCCAGCUGGCUGGACCUCAGAGAUCGCUGCGUUCAACAUCCUGUCUCCACAGAGGAGACAGAAGGACACUGAGAUAGGCUGUGGCUUCCCCGAGGUCACACGGCUGGGCAGGGUCCUGGGUCCGGUCCAGGGAUAUUUCCUCGCCUCCUUUAAGUGUAAUCUCUUUGUGUGCUACUGUCCAAAUUGUUUAUUCUGCAAGUGUUUUACUCUGCAAAGGCUGCUUUGGACCCGUGGACCGACAGGGAUGCCGGCAGAGAGACCGGCAGGGGGAAGCGUGCUUCCACACAGUGGUGAUGGGAGGUCACCCUGCAGCCAGGGGUGCUCAGAGUAAGGGCAGAUUGGGCGCGGCUUCCUCAUGGAGGAUCCCCUGGGGAUUACAGGAGCUGAGGCUCUCAUCUGCCUCUCUAGUAGAGUUCAGUGGCAGAGGACAGACAGAGGCUUCACACUGGAGAUUUUGAAGAAGGAAAAUGGUGCUUGGCUCCCGUUAAUUCCACUCCCCUGGUUUGCAAUAAAGGAGACGCUGGCUUACAAACUAAGGAGGGAAAGGGGGACCAUCGGGGCUUACCAAGCCGAACUGCCACUCCAGGGGUGAGUCCCUCCAAGGGCCGCCUCCCAUCUUGAUCCAUAGCCCCCCCAGGGGGGCCCCACCAUGUCAUUGAGGCUGCUUCUCCUGCACCCAGCACAGUGCCUGGCCUGGAGGAAGCACUUGGCACACACUUCUGAGGGAAGAAGUGUCCCCUUGUCGGCCGAGGCAGCUCAGAUCCCACCAGGCCCUGCAGAGCCACCCGAGAGCCUCUCCAUCCUUCUCCCUCUCUGCGCCUUGGGCAGGGGCAGGCCACGGGGGCAAACGGUGCUCUCCAUCCUUCUCCUGCUCAAAAACAGCCACUCUGCUCUCCUCAGGCUGGCCAGACGUUCCCACCACAGCCCUGCUCGUGAUAAUAUAUCCCAUACAUUGUGCAUAGUACACAGUACACUAGUUUUAACAUAAGAUUCAAUUUUAUACGUUAUACAGUCAUACAUUAACUUAUAUAGUAUAUAAAAGUUCAAUAUUUAAUAUAUAUUUAAUAAUAAAUAAUGUUACUAGACAAUAUAUUAAUACAGUAUACACUAUAUGUAAAUAUAGCAAUAUAUUUUACAUAAUAAAUUAACAUAAGUAGCAUGGUAUGUAUAAUAUGUUAAUAUAUUACACAUAAUAUAUUAUAUAAUAAUGUGUUCUAAUCUAAU